Molecule: small RNA, 390 nt
Filed under: Drosophila pseudoobscura pseudoobscura
Lineage: Eukaryota; Metazoa; Arthropoda; Insecta; Diptera; Drosophilidae
Description: GA31982
Source: RNAcentral
CAUGAGAUCCAUUUGGUCUACACUGUAGAGCGAUGGGCACGUCCUUGCUCACAACUUCUUCCAUUGCUCCCACAUGACGCGGCACAUUUGAUGCUCGAUUCGAGACAACAUGCAUGUCUUGUGCAUGAUGCGGCAAAUUGAUGGUCAGUCAAUCCUGCUCAGAACAUUACAGAAUGGGAUAACAGAUAUAUGUGCAUAUUUACAUUAAGGAAACCCUGGAUUUCUCCCAUCUGGCUGAAAUUUCGAACAAUCUGUGGAUCAUCUCAGGAUGAAACACAUGCGAAAUUCUAUAAAUAACUCGAUCAACAGUUGGCAAAUAAAUGUGAACAAGAAAAAUUAGCCAAAUAAAAAAAUACACACAUACAUAUGCCCAUGUGUAUGCACAAAGUG